GAAUUUUAUAUAUUAAUAUAAAAUAAAUUUAUGUUAGUAUAUUUUAUUGGGAGGAUAUUUAAAUUGAUAAAACUUUAAUUACAGAAUUACAUAAGUUAGUGAUUUAUAAUGAAUGAGUAGAAAUUUUAUUAAGAAUUAAUUACCUUAGGGAUAACAGCAUAAUAUUUUUUUGUAGAACUUAUAUAAAAAAAUGAUUAUGA
RNAcentral lists this ribosomal RNA (200 nucleotides) under Hypoponera sp. 02.FGSGt. RNAcentral's name for it is "partial large subunit ribosomal RNA". Lineage: Eukaryota; Metazoa; Arthropoda; Insecta; Hymenoptera; Formicidae. The record is from RNAcentral.